RNAcentral lists this ribosomal RNA (468 nucleotides) under uncultured bacterium. RNAcentral's name for it is "partial 16S ribosomal RNA". It matches the Rfam family "Bacterial small subunit ribosomal RNA", at positions 28 to 507 of the family's 1533-position model. The record is from RNAcentral.
GACGAACGCUGGCGGCGUGCUUAACACAUGCAAGUCGAACGGAAAGGCCCUGCUUUUGUGGGGUGCUCGAGUGGCGAACGGGUGAGUAACACGUGAGUAACCUGCCCUUGACUUUGGGAUAACUUCAGGAAACUGGGGCUAAUACCGGAUAGGAGCUCCUGCUGCAUGGUGGGGGUUGGAAAGUUUCGGCGGUUGGGGAUGGACUCGCGGCUUAUCAGCUUGUUGGUGAGGUAGUGGCUUACCAAGGCUUUGACGGGUAGCCGGCCUGAGAGGGUGACCGGCCACAUUGGGACUGCGAUACGGACCAGACUCCUACGGGAGGCAGUAGUGGGGAAUAUUGCACAAUGGGCGGAAGCCUGAUGCAGCAACGCCGCGUGCGGGAUGACGGCCUUCGGGUUGUAAACCGCUUUCGAAUGUGACGAAGCGUGAGUGACGGUAAUGGGUAAAGAAGCACCGGCUAACUACGUG